UGCGGGAAUGAAAAACAAGACUUAUCAGGGCCCCUAAACAUCAUGUGAAACUCCUGAACGUAGUUUAAAUUUUAGAAGAAGCAUUCCUCCAACACACAACAGCAACAAAGUGCAGCCAAACAUCCUUUCAAAAACGAGGAACAGCCGUCGGAAUUAUCUUGGUAAUGGUUAUGCUCGUAGUGAUAAUGCUGAUAAUGAGGCUGUCCAGGAGGCGGUGGAGGUGGUGGGUA
This 230-nucleotide unclassified non-coding RNA is filed under the name Hevea brasiliensis (rubber tree). Lineage: Eukaryota; Viridiplantae; Streptophyta; Magnoliopsida; Malpighiales; Euphorbiaceae. The record is from RNAcentral.